RNAcentral lists this long non-coding RNA (199 nucleotides) under Glycine max (soybean). RNAcentral describes it as "long non-coding RNA (GMAX_LNC004665)". The record is from RNAcentral. Lineage: Eukaryota; Viridiplantae; Streptophyta; Magnoliopsida; Fabales; Fabaceae.
AAUGGGAGUGAUUCUUUAGAUAUUAUGUUCAAUUUUCUAUUUGCUUGUGCAAAAAUUUAAAAUGGGUUUGGGUAAAAGGUUGAAUUUGAGAACUUUGUUUGUGCAAUAGUGGUAUGAAUCUGAUGAGUGAUAUUGUUGUUGUUGCUGGUGGUGCCAUUGUUGUUCAUGGAGUGAUCUUUGAAGAGGGGUUGUGUUGUUG